Molecule: ribosomal RNA, 113 nt
Filed under: Enterococcus faecalis
Lineage: Bacteria; Bacillati; Bacillota; Bacilli; Lactobacillales; Enterococcaceae
Description: partial 23S ribosomal RNA
Rfam family: Bacterial large subunit ribosomal RNA
Source: RNAcentral
GUUGAUAAGGUUAAGUGAAUAAGGGCGCACGGUGGAUGCCUUGGCACUAGGAGCCGAUGAAGGACGGGACUAACACCGAUAUGCUUUGGGGAACUGUAAGUAAGCUAUGAUCC